AUUAAUCUAAUAUCAUAGGAGUGUCAAUGGAAAUGGCAAUUUACAAAUACUACAUGGUUUAAAUGUACAAGAGUAAACUUCAAAACAACAUGGAUGAAAUUAACCUUCAUUAUUUCUGGAUCAUUCCAUGGGCCUUUAUCAGAAAGCAUGCAUCCUCCUUUGUCAGCACAAGUGCAUGUACCACCUAAGAAUUCUGGAAGUUCGCUGAUGCAAGGUAGUGACAAACAAGUCAUUUUAGUGUCUAUGCAGGAAAUUCAAUCAGUGAUUCAUAAUUCAUAUUAAAUAGAUAAUGUCAUUCUCUCUUAUUAUUUAUUGGCAGUCACAUUCUCUGGACAUUUAGACGGAGGUACACCUUAAGCUCAGGAAAGCAAAAGAGAAUAUUUAAGUUCACCUGUGUUUACCUGGCAUCAAUUAUUUCAAGCAACUUGCUCUGGUAUUUGUUACCGAGAACCUAGAAGGAGAU
RNAcentral lists this long non-coding RNA (463 nucleotides) under Capsicum annuum. RNAcentral's name for it is "long non-coding RNA (CANN_LNC016668)". The record is from RNAcentral. Lineage: Eukaryota; Viridiplantae; Streptophyta; Magnoliopsida; Solanales; Solanaceae.